Molecule: ribosomal RNA, 464 nt
Filed under: Buthus mariefranceae
Lineage: Eukaryota; Metazoa; Arthropoda; Arachnida; Scorpiones; Buthidae
Description: partial 12S ribosomal RNA
Source: RNAcentral
ACCGUAAAAGUGAAGAAAUUUUGGUUUAAANUUUGGAAGAUNNUUUAGGNNNNGGGAAGUUUAAGUUUUUUANAAAGGUAAAAUUUUGAAAAAAAUUAUUCUUUCANAAGNAGAAAGUUUUUAAAAAUUCAGAAGUGAAACUAGGAUUAGAUACCCUAUUAUUAUAGAAUAAAGAGAAAUNUAGGUAGUAAUGGAGGUCUUGAAACUUAAAGAAUUUGGCGGUGUUUUAAUCUAAUCAGAGGAACUUGUGUUUUAACUCGAAAUUACACGUUUUAUCUUACUUAAGUUUANGUUUGUAUAUCGUCGUAAAAAUAAAACUUUGAGGUGAGUAUUUAAUAUUAUUAAANUAAUGAAUUACAGAUCAAGGUUCAGCUNAUAUUUAAGNGUGACAUGAGUUACAAUACUACUUUAUGUAAAUGGAUAAUUUUCUNNGAAAAGNGAAUUUUGAAGGUGGAUUUGAAAGU